Molecule: long non-coding RNA, 382 nt
Filed under: Hordeum vulgare
Lineage: Eukaryota; Viridiplantae; Streptophyta; Magnoliopsida; Poales; Poaceae
Description: long non-coding RNA (HVUL_LNC019422)
Source: RNAcentral
UGUGGCGAGUGUAAGCCAAUUCUAUAUAUAUCUCUCCUUUUCAGUACAUGUACUUGUAACGAUAUACAUUCUUGCGACAUGACGAGAUGCGCUUCUAUCCCUAACGAGGCCUUCGUGCCAAAUUGANNAUAGGGUCGCAUCUUGGACAUGACACCGCUUGUCCUCCUUUUUGGAGUUCGUCUUUCCCCGUGGCCGUGGCUUCUCACCCUCCCCAACCUCCUCAUUGGCUUCCUUACCCCCUGCCCUGUGAGGGCGGCAUAUUGGAGCUUAAAAUUUUCCUCAUCUUUGAUGAUCCUCCAAUGAGAAAGGUUGAAGGACUUGUCUUCAUAUUGGACCUUGAAUGCCUCUAAAACUUGAAAUGCCUACAAAUAAAUUACACGAN